GCCUGGAUGGUGCAGUGGUAGAGCCCGCGUCCCCGGUAUGGAUGAAACGCGGGUUCUAUUACCGCCUGAGGCC
This is a non-coding RNA of Parelaphostrongylus tenuis, 73 nucleotides long. The record is from the annotation of a GenBank genome assembly. Lineage: Eukaryota; Metazoa; Nematoda; Chromadorea; Rhabditida; Metastrongylidae.